UAGUGGUAAAAGACAAGCAUUGUGUUUUACAUUAUGAUCUUCUCUGAAAUGCACUGUAUGCAACUGGGCCUGUUGAGGUUCCCAACACCUCAGUAGUGGUGCCCAACCGGUUGAUCACUAAGACAUUUUUAAUCAAUCAAUCUCAAUACAACCUCCAUUCCUUCCUCAUCAGUAAAAUAUACCAAGGGGUGCCCCACCUGUUGGCAAAAUAUACUGUCACAAUUCAGUAGCUCACCGGAAUAUUUUCAUUGUAAAGGUAGAUCUCUCUGAAAAAAGGCUGGACAUCACUGCUCUACAUGUUUUUCAGCGUAACUAAAUGGCUUACAUUAUACCACAAAAAACGGCGACAUCUCCAGGUGAAUAAGAAGGGCACACCUUUGAGAACCAGGCAGAAUCGUAUUAACAGAGGCUUCAUUAUGCUGUCUAUGAGCUCCCAAAUGUUCACCCAGUGUCUUGUGUUUAGUAUAAUGUUAGUGUUUGUGUUUCGGUUACCUUCAAAGCAUGAAUAAGUGCCAAUAUAUUUUUUUUUUUUUCUGUUUGUUUUAUUUAAUGUAUUUCAAAUUUCACUUAAUCAUGUUAUCCAUAGAAGUUACUUUUAUAGCAAGGUUCAUAUCAGCUUAAGUACCUUUCUAACCGAAACCCAGUCUGGUACCUCAACCAGGAACCUUUGGGUCAAAAAUCUAUCAUGACAGAUGUUAUCGAGAGUGAAUGUUAAGUACAACCGCUGUCCAUUUUAUUAUAUUUACAAAAUCACAACCAAAAUGGCCACCGUCAGCGUAAUAAAAAAGAAGCAUAUACCAUCAAUAUACAACAAAAUAUACACAACAAAUUACAAAGACGCAGGCUCUCACAUGGUGGGAAAGGUGGUGUACAGACAAGAUAUCCCAAUGAUCUCAAUGAAACAAACAAACAAACAAGCAAUCUCUCCCACUCCAAAUUCAAGGAUCUCAAAAAAAACACAAUCUCAAAAAUCCAGCCAGGCAGAAAGAACCAAUUCUUGGUUUAUAAAUAUCAAGCCCCAACCACUCAUUCAAACACUCAAUCAUGUGAAGCUACCGCCAUUAAUUCCCCCGGGCGAUUAAUGAAAUCUGUCUGUUAAAUGAAAUUAAUACUUAAAAAUCUGUUUUCGUUUUGCAACAUUUAUAUACACCCAUCCAGAAUGUCAGCUACAGUUUCAGGAACGACGCGUUCCUGGUAUGUUUUUAAAUAGCUGUACCUCAGAGGACACGCAAGAAAUAGACAAGGCAUGUCAUUCUCUUUUGUUCCUAAAUUGCAUACAUGUACCCAAGACGGCAUCUAAAAAGGGAAGUCUAGAAUAACAGUGGAUUUUGUUUUUGAUCCCAUUCAGCUUUCAACACCAGCCUCACAGACAGGAAAGGUCACAACAGGUGUCCUGGCUCCCAGAUUUAAGAACAGCUGCCUCCUGCCCGCAGUUUCCUGACUGAACGCCAUGCAUCAUUAGCACACUUUAAAUAUACCGACCUCAGAACAGCCGCCACCACACUCUGCCUCUUCUAUAGAAUUCUCUCCCCUGCUCUCUUUGUAUUUUCCCACAUUUUAGACUCUCAGCGGUUACUGGCACUUUGCUUGUAAGACUGAGCUCAAGCAUUGCUUACUGAAAAGAACGCAUCGUCGUAGUUCUGUUAUGUACCUUCCUUUGGGUCCUCGGGAAUAUACUAGAGACUCUAAACUUAGAUGAUUUGGCUGGAGAUACCAAACCUUACGGACUCAUUGAAAAUGGAUCAACAACACUGUCUGGACAAUGAGGUAAGGAACAACAGCAAUGCUACCAAUGUCCCCUUCUCUACUAAUGGUUGGCCAAUCGUGCAGCAAGUGGGAACCCAUUUCUUCUAGAGAAGACCAAUCAUCUCAGCUGGCUAAGAAAAACCACGGUGUAAGAAAAGUCGGAGACUCUCAAGAGAGUGCCGAGGUUCCCCUUUGCUUUUUGCACCUUUCACUCAUCGACUGCUGUUCCUUUGGGGUUUCAGCAGUGACAACAUUGUGUAUAGUUCAAACCCUGGCUGUGGUUCAUCGAGGCUUCAUUGAGAAACUUGAAAAUUAGAUCAUUUUGUCUAUCAUUGUUCACCAUUCGCACCAAAUUAUGCCCUUCAUCCUAUUCAAUGAGCCAAAUAGCUCUUUUCAUUACCACUGCAACCGACUACCCUGCAUCCAGUGGUAGUGCAUAAGAAUACUUACACCACUUGUUUAUGUGAGGCCCCCUGUUGGCCACAAAGAGUCACUACAUUAAUAUAUUAAAUACUGCAAAAAAGCUAGCUAGCUAUAAUGUUCUGACUGUAUUCAUUAGCUUAUGUUAUUGUUAUAUGAAACAAUGAGAUCAUCAUUUCCCAGCAGUGCCACAAAAAGGAAGAAAAUCAAAGACAGAAAGUCUUUCAAAACAGAAAAUUUGCCGAAGCUGACCAGUGUCUUCACCACAGACAAUGAAACACCGGAUGAAGAUGCAGAGAUGGCCUAACCAGACUUAUCGGUGUUGAAUGCUAGGAAAGCGAGGGCACAACUUCUUGUUGAAAAGUUAAAAAGAUUUUUAUUUAUUUAUUUAUUUUUUUAAAUCGAUAGCCUUGUCACUGCUCCAACAGCAUACAGCGCAUUGAGGGAGAAUUUAGUUUUUUGUGGCAUUAACUUGCGCAUUAUUCUUUGACUUUCUCUUUAAUUAAGCUCCAAUCACUGCUAACACUGUGCACUACGAUAUACAAAUCUGUACGUAUCUGUUGCAUCGAAAGAUGAGCAUCUGUGUUUUUUACGGUACUGAUAACAGUAACUUUGGGAUUUCUAAAUACAGGUAUAUCGUAAUACCACCCUACCACCCAAACCUAUGCCAAUUCCUUUAACCAUUCUUUUUUAAUAGUAACUUAGCAACCACCUACAUGACCACCCUCACCAAAUUCAUCAUAGGCUUACUAACGAUGCUCUACUGUGAAAAUUACAUCUACUCAGUGUGACCUGAGGCAACUUUUCCAUUUUCAAUCACCACAAUGUUCCAAUUAUUCAUGAUUUUUCAUCACCAUGGCAGCCCUGUAUACCUGGUCACUAACGAUAGGAUGUAGUUCAGCGUUUACACCUGUUCUAAGAGAAAGUAGCAUUGACUGAAUCAUCGUUCCAUUUUCCGUCUAUC
Long non-coding RNA from Brienomyrus brachyistius, 3130 nucleotides. RefSeq lists it as uncharacterized. The record is from RefSeq and is a predicted model, not a curated record. NCBI's taxonomy places the organism in Eukaryota, Metazoa, Chordata, Actinopteri, Osteoglossiformes, Mormyridae. The transcript has 3 exons.